This 273-nucleotide ribosomal RNA is filed under the name uncultured bacterium. RNAcentral describes it as "partial 16S ribosomal RNA". It matches the Rfam family "Bacterial small subunit ribosomal RNA", at positions 523 to 796 of the family's 1533-position model. The record is from RNAcentral.
AUACGGAGGGUGCAAGCGUUACUCGGAAUCACUGGGCGUAAAGGAUGCGUAGGCGGAUAAUCAAGUCAAAAGUGAAAUCCCACGGCUUAACCGUGGAACUGCUUUCGAAACUGGUAUCUAGAAUAUGGAAGAGGUAGAUGGAAUUAGUGGUGUAGGGGUAAAAUCCGUAGAGAUCACUAGGAAUACCGAUUGCGAAGGCGAUCUGCUGGGACAUUAUUGACGCUGAGGCAUGAAAGCGUGGGGAGCAAACAGGAUUAGAAACCCUAGUAGUCC